This 414-nucleotide long non-coding RNA is filed under the name Sorghum bicolor (sorghum). RNAcentral describes it as "long non-coding RNA (SBIC_LNC008430)". Lineage: Eukaryota; Viridiplantae; Streptophyta; Magnoliopsida; Poales; Poaceae. The record is from RNAcentral.
CGAGGUUGUCGAGCACUUGCUCCUUUUUAUUUCCUCAAAAAUAUCUUUAUUUUUGCAUAGCCCAUGCCUCUAAUGCAAUAAUACUUCGGAAGAGUGAAUCUUUCUGAAUAAAUGUCUUGAUCUUAGGAGCAUGAUAAAUCUCUCAACAAGGGUCUAACUCAUUUUGAACAAACUUAAUACAGAGUAGAUAGCUUUUAUAAUCAUAAUUAAUAUUUUUAGUUUUAUCAGGCAUAUAAAACACUGAGGAUGGUAGCUAGAAUUUUGAAGAUUUUGAAAUAAAUUCUCCAAGCAACAAUGAUAUCAAGAAUAAGAAACUCAUACUCUACCAUUACAUAUUCCAUAUUGACUUAAGUAAUACAGGGUUUUAAAAAUGAUUUUCAAUAAUUGCAAGUUUUCAGGAAAUAUCACAGAUUG